UAAAGAAUUUCGGUCAUCGAUGGGGAUGCGUUCCAUUAGCUUGUUGGCGGGGUAACGGCCCACCAAGGCAUCGAUGGAUAGGGGUUCUGAGAGGAAGGUCCCCCACAUUGGAACUGAGACACGGUCCAAACUCCUACGGGAGGCAGCAGUGAGGAAUAUUGGUCAAUGGGCGCUAGCCUGAACCAGCCAAGUAGCGUGAAGGAUGACUGCCCUAUGGGUUGUAAACUUCUUUUAUAUGGGAAUAAAGUGCAGCAUGUAUACUGCUUUGCAUGUACCUUAUGAAUAAGGAUCGGCUAACUCCGUGCCAGCAGCCGCGGUAAUACGGAGGAUCCGAGCGUUAUCCGGAUUUAUUGGGUUUAAAGGGAGCGUAGGCGGGUUGUUAAGUCAGUUGUGAAAGUUUGCGGCUCAACCGUAAAAUUGCAGUUGAUACUGGCAUCCUUGAGUACAGUAGAGGUAGGCGGAAUUCGUGGUGUAGCGGUGAAAUGCUUAGAUAUCACGAAGAACUCCGAUUGCGAAGGCAGCCUGCUGGACUGUAACUGACGCUGAUGCUCGAAAGUGUGGGUAUCAAACAGGAUUAGAUACCCUGGUAGUCCACACAGUAAACGAUGAAUACUCGCUGUUUGCGAUAUACAGUAA
RNAcentral lists this ribosomal RNA (636 nucleotides) under uncultured bacterium. RNAcentral's name for it is "bacterial SSU rRNA". It matches the Rfam family "Bacterial small subunit ribosomal RNA", at positions 202 to 842 of the family's 1533-position model. The record is from RNAcentral.